RNAcentral lists this small RNA (134 nucleotides) under Candidatus Pantoea deserta. RNAcentral describes it as "Pantoea sp. RIT388 RtT sRNA". It matches the Rfam family "RtT RNA". From Rfam's summary of the family: This family represents a bacterial cis-regulatory element known as RtT RNA. The exact function of RtT is unknown although it is thought that it may be involved in changing the cellular response in relation to amino acid starvation. The record is from RNAcentral. Lineage: Bacteria; Pseudomonadati; Pseudomonadota; Gammaproteobacteria; Enterobacterales; Erwiniaceae.
CAGCAGAGCCUGACGUGCAGGAUGAGAACCUGCGCAGGUUCGACUGAAUCGCCAGAGGCGAUUCAGGCUGAUGCGAAGCAUCACCCGCAAGGGCGAGGCCCAUAGGGCCGAGGCAAAUCCUGCACGACCCACCA